AGGAAGUAAAAGUCGUAACAAGGUUUCCGUAGGUGAACCUGCGGAAGGAUCAUUAUUGAAAUAAACCUGAUGGGUUGCUGCUGGUUCUCUAGGGAACAUGUGCACACUUGUCAUCUUUAUAUCUCCACCUGUGCACCUUUUGUAGACCUGGAUAUCUCUCUGAAUGCUUGCAUUCAGGUUUGAGGAUUGACUUUGCUGGCUCUCCUUACAUUUCCAGGCCUAUGUUUAUUCAUAUACUCCAAUGUAUGUUAUAGAAUGUAUCAAAUGGGCCUUUGUGCCUAUAAACCUAUACAACUUUCAGCAACGGAUCUCUUGGCUCUCGCAUCGAUGAAGAACGCAGCGAAAUGCGAUAAGUAAUGUGAAUUGCAGAAUUCAGUGAAUCAUCGAAUCUUUGAACGCACCUUGCGCUCCUUGGUAUUCCGAGGAGCAUGUCUGUUUGAGUGUCAUUAAUAUGUCAACUUCUUCAGCUUUUGCUUGUUGAGUGUUGGAUGUGGGGGGUUUCUUUUGCUGGUCUCACUUACGAGGUCAGCUCCCCUGAAAUGCAUUAGCGGAACAAAUGUGUUGAUCGUUCAUUGGUGUGAUAACUAUCUACGCUAUUGACGUGAGGCAGUUCAGCUUCUAACAGUCCAUUGACUUGGACAAAUUUUCAUUAAUGUGACCUCAAAUCAGAUAGGACUACCCGCUGAACUU
This 690-nucleotide ribosomal RNA is filed under the name Cortinarius saturniorum. RNAcentral's name for it is "eukaryotic LSU rRNA". The stretch from base 293 to 446 matches the Rfam family "5.8S ribosomal RNA". Lineage: Eukaryota; Fungi; Basidiomycota; Agaricomycetes; Agaricales; Cortinariaceae. The record is from RNAcentral.